RNAcentral lists this ribosomal RNA (440 nucleotides) under uncultured bacterium. Its description in RNAcentral is "partial 16S ribosomal RNA". It matches the Rfam family "Bacterial small subunit ribosomal RNA", at positions 338 to 795 of the family's 1533-position model. The record is from RNAcentral.
CCUACGGGGGGCAGCAGUGGGGAAUAUUGCACAAUGGGGGAAACCCUGAUGCAGCGACGCCGCGUGAGUGAAGAAGUAUCUCGGUACGUAAAGCUCUAUCAGCAGGGAAUAAAAUGACGGUACCUGACUAAGAAGCCCCGGCGAACUACGUGCCAGCAGCCGCGGUAAUACGUAGGGGGCAAGCGUUAUCCGGAUGUACUGGGUGUAAAGGGAGCGUAGACGGCAGGACAAGUCUGGAGUGAAAUCCCGGGGCUUAACCCCGGAACUGCUUUGGAAACUGUGCGGCUGGAGUGCAGGAGGGGUAGGCGGAAUUCCUGGUGUAGCGGUGAAAUGCGUAGAGAUUAGGAGGAACACCGGUGGCGAAGGCGGCUUACUGGACUGUAACUGACGUUGAGGCUCGAAAGCGUGGGGAGCAAACAGGAUUAGAUACCCUAGUAGUC